GACGAACGUUGGCGGCGUGCUUAAUACAUGCAAGUCCACUGAAGCAGUGGUAGCAAUAUCGCUGUGGAGGUGGCGCACGGGUGAGUAACACGUUGGUAAUCUGCCUUCAGGUCUGGCAUAACUCCGGGAAACCGGGGCUAAUAGCAGAUGAUGCAGCGGCUCGACAUCGAGACAGUUGUUAAAGCUAUGGCGCCUGAAGAUGAGCCUGCGUCUGAUUAGCUAGUUGGCGGGGUAACGGCCCACCAAGGCAACGAUCAGUAGCUGGUCUGAGAGGAUGAUCAGCCACACUGGAACUGAGACACGGUCCAGACUCCUACGGGAGGCAGCAGUAAGGAAUAUUGCUCAAUGGGAGAAAUCCUGAAGCAGCAACGCCGCGUGAGGGACGAAGGGCUUUUGCUUGUAAACCUCUGUAGUGAGAGAAAAAAAUCCCAAUCUUUGGGACAUGAUGGUAUCUCAAAAGUAAGCCCCGGCUAACUACGUG
This 481-nucleotide ribosomal RNA is filed under the name uncultured bacterium. RNAcentral describes it as "partial 16S ribosomal RNA". It matches the Rfam family "Bacterial small subunit ribosomal RNA", at positions 28 to 507 of the family's 1533-position model. The record is from RNAcentral.